CCCAAACCCAAUGUGAACGUUACCAAACUGUUGCCUCGGCGGGAUCUCUGCCCCGGGUGCGUCGCAGCCCCGGACCAAGGCGCCCGCCGGAGGACCAACCAAAACUCUUUUUGUAUACCCCCUCGCGGGUUUUUUAUAAUCUGAGCCUUCUCGGCGCCUCUCGUAGGCGUUUCGAAAAUGAAUCAAAACUUUCAACAACGGAUCUCUUGGUUCUGGCAUCGAUGAAGAACGCAGCGAAAUGCGAUAAGUAAUGUGAAUUGCAGAAUUCAGUGAAUCAUCGAAUCUUUGAACGCACAUUGCGCCCGCCAGUAUUCUGGCGGGCAUGCCUGUCCGAGCGUCAUUUCAACCCUCGAACCCCUCCGGGGGGUCGGCGUUGGGGAUCGGCCCUGCCUUGGCGGUGGCCGUCUCCGAAAUACAGUGGCGGUCUCGCCGCAGCCUCUCCUGCGCAGUAGUUUGCACACUCGCAUCGGGAGCGCGGCGCGUCCACAGCCGUUAAACACCCAACUUCUGAAAUGUUGACCUCGGAUCAGGUAGGAAUACCCGCUGAACUUAA
Molecule: ribosomal RNA, 553 nt
Filed under: fungal sp. 971 YZ-2011
Lineage: Eukaryota; Fungi
Description: eukaryotic LSU rRNA
Rfam family: 5.8S ribosomal RNA (bases 187-340)
Source: RNAcentral